Molecule: small RNA, 125 nt
Filed under: Marmota monax (woodchuck)
Lineage: Eukaryota; Metazoa; Chordata; Mammalia; Rodentia; Sciuridae
Source: RNAcentral
GCCAGGCACGGUGGCCCAUGCCUGUAAUCCCAGGAGCUUGGGAGGCUGAGAGAGAAGGAUCGGGAGUUCAAAGCCAGCCUCAGCAAAAGUGAGGUGCUACACAGCUCAGUGAGAUCCUGUCUCUA